RNAcentral lists this non-coding RNA (22 nucleotides) under Rattus norvegicus (Norway rat). The record is from RNAcentral. Lineage: Eukaryota; Metazoa; Chordata; Mammalia; Rodentia; Muridae.
CUAAAUACUGUGAGGUGAGCAG